UUUAGUAUGAGUUAGCCGACAAAUAAUUUCCAAAGGAAAUGUCGAAUAUUGUUAAAUUUCUGCUGCAUGGAGGUGAAAAUGUGAAAACGCAGUCUAGGAGCUUGAGUUAAAUCCAUAUUUAUUCAGCUGGCUAUAUUUAGAGGACAGCCACAAUUGCUUUUGGACAAAGUCCCUUAGGAAGAUAUAGAUGGACCAGUUCUAAGUUGAAUACACUGAUUAUUUUAGCUUUCAUUUUAGUAUGCUUUAUUUAUUACAUGUCAAUAUACUAAAUUAAUGUGAUGAUAUUGCCUUCAUUAUACAGUAUCUUACCCAUGUUUGUAACUUCUGCUCUAAUAAAUAGUAAUAAAAGAAGUUUGUAAUUGUUCAUGGUAGAUUGGUUUUCCCCUACUGUGUUUGAUAUUGGUGUUUCCUACAGGCUUCUAAGCCAGGCUUUAUCUGUCUUCUCUGUCCACAUGUUCAGAUGUUGAGUGCCUUUUCAGGAUCAUGAAUGACAAAUGGUUGCUACUUAGACAAAGUACUGUUAAUCUAUUACUUUUAUCUAAAAAGAUCUUAUUUUCUUGACAAAAAUAUUUUCUGACUAUUUUGGAGAACAACUAUGCCCGUCUUUAGUCUGCUUUUUAGUAUUUUAUACAGUUGUAAUGAAGAUCAACUAUUGUAUUUGUUGACCGUGUAAAAUGUUUCAGUUGCACCGAUAUGACAUACCAAGGGUGUUUUUCUCUAUGCAAUAUUUACAGAUUUAAAAAAAAAAGGACAAAACUUCCCCCUCCGAUCUCUAGACAGUUCUGUGUGCAUAAAUAUGCAUUUCCCAUGAGACGGUCUUUCACUUGCAGGUGGCAUUAUUUAGAACCUAUUCUCAGGUAUUUUAAUUCCUCACUUUUCUUACCUGUACACUUAAUUUGAGCCCCGUCCUUCCAUUUGCUGGACUGUUUGGUGUAAUUUUGUUUAUUAUACUGAAAGCAUAUCUUUAAAGAUGCAUCUAACAGUUUGUUGUAAAACUCUUUAAAUACAUAGCUUCAUAGAUUAAGCUUCCAUAGUGCUCAGGAAUAAACAUCACAUCUCAAUUAUGAAAUGUAAAGAA
This 1078-nucleotide long non-coding RNA is filed under the name Apteryx rowi (Okarito brown kiwi). RNAcentral's name for it is "lncRNA (ENSARWG00000001584.1)". Lineage: Eukaryota; Metazoa; Chordata; Aves; Apterygiformes; Apterygidae. The record is from RNAcentral.